RNAcentral lists this transfer RNA (66 nucleotides) under Nesogale talazaci (Talazac's shrew tenrec). RNAcentral describes it as "partial tRNA-Val". It matches the Rfam family "tRNA". Rfam says of the family: Transfer RNA (tRNA) molecules are approximately 80 nucleotides in length. Their secondary structure includes four short double-helical elements and three loops (D, anti-codon, and T loops). The record is from RNAcentral. Lineage: Eukaryota; Metazoa; Chordata; Mammalia; Afrosoricida; Tenrecidae.
AAAAUGUAGCUUAACAAAAGCAUCUGGCCUACACCCAGAAGAUUUCAGUAGAACUGACCAUUUUGA